UGCCAGAGAUGUCAUAACAGUGACUUGA
RNAcentral lists this non-coding RNA (28 nucleotides) under Mus musculus (house mouse). The record is from RNAcentral. Lineage: Eukaryota; Metazoa; Chordata; Mammalia; Rodentia; Muridae.